Molecule: non-coding RNA, 72 nt
Organism: Manacus vitellinus (golden-collared manakin)
Lineage: Eukaryota; Metazoa; Chordata; Aves; Passeriformes; Pipridae
Source: Rfam
CCCCUGGUGGUCUAGUGGUUAGGAUGCAGCGCUCUCAACGUCGCGGCCCAGGUUUGAUUCCCGAUCAGGGAA